AUACGAAGGGUGCAAGCGUUACUCGGAAUUACUGGGCGUAAAGCGUGCGUAGGUGGUUGUUUAAGUCUGUCGUGAAAGCCCUGGGCUCAACCUGGGAAUGGCGAUGGAAACUGGGCGACUAGAGUGUGGCAGAGGGUAGUGGAAUUCCUGGUGUAGCAGUGAAAUGCGUAGAGAUCAGGAGGAACAUCCGUGGCGAAGGCGACUGCCUGGGCCAACACUGACACUGAGGCACGAAAGCGUGGGGAGCAAACAGGAUUAGAUACCCUGGUAGUCCACGCCCUAAACGAUGCGAACUGGAUGUUGGGUGCAAUUUGGCACGCAGUAUCGAAGCUAACGCGUUAAGUUCGCCGCCUGGGGAGUACGGUCGCAAGGUUGAAACUCAAAUGAAUUGGCGGGG
Molecule: ribosomal RNA, 397 nt
Filed under: uncultured bacterium
Lineage: Bacteria
Description: partial 16S ribosomal RNA
Rfam family: Bacterial small subunit ribosomal RNA
Source: RNAcentral